This is a small nuclear RNA of Jaculus jaculus (lesser Egyptian jerboa), 107 nucleotides long. The record is from RefSeq and is a predicted model, not a curated record. Lineage: Eukaryota; Metazoa; Chordata; Mammalia; Rodentia; Dipodidae.
AUGCUAGCUUCAGCAGCACAUAUACUAAACUUGGAACAAUACAGAAAAGAUUAGCAUGGCCCCUGCACAAGGAUGACACGCAAGUUUGUGAAGCGUUUCAUUAUCUU